GCCACCUGCUGGAAUGUGGAUGCGGGAAAUGUGAAGCUAAGUGAAAGACGCCGGACACACACAGAAGGACACACAGAGUCCCAGCUGAGAACCUAAGCGGGUGGAGGAAAAAAGGUCCUCCCCUGCAAGGUCAGGACACCUCAGUAAAAAGAGUUCUAUGAAGGAGCAAAGCAUUCCGUGAAGUGGUUUAAGACUACAGGAGGAUGAUGGAGAGGCGGCGGAGUCUUGCUCCAGCUGUUGGCAGAGACACGGUGCAGGAGAUGGAGCCAGUAGGUCAGGGAGGCCCGGGCAUCUUUCUGCUCUUCGUUUUCAGAGGGGGAAAUAGCAUGUGUGUUGGCCCAUGGUGAGAUGCCUGAGAGCGGGGAAACCAAGGCAGGAAGGGGUCUUUCCUGGCGACGAGAGAUGCUGACAUCCCUGCAGUCUCUGGCUGCAGAACUUCAACUCCUGAGAAAGCACAAAAGUCUCUGGCAAUGGGAACGGUGCCAACCUUCUCAUCUGGCAGAAACCCCUGCCUACAGCAGCAUCACCACCCGACACUCACGUUGGAAUGACUGGAAGGAAGCCCGGUGCCCUGAAGGCGGCGGCGUGAGGACCUCAGACCUCAGAGCCCUGGGGAGAGACCGCGUAGAGAUUCUGGGGUGAGGGUCCGGCCAGUGACUGGCUCCAGAACCUUCUGCUCAGGAGAGCACAUCUGCCUGUCUUUACGGUCCCGGGGUGACGGCUGUCCUGUGACCUCAGUUCUCCAGCAGACCCAAGGGAGGCUGUUGGUUCAGCGCCCGGCUCUGUGCCCUGCUGUAGGACGAUGACUUGCAAGCACCUGACAUGCCCACGGGCACACCGGAGGCCUGUGACAAAUGUCACUGGGGGCGGGGGGCACCGUCACAGGGAAAUGUUGGAGAUUCAUUCAUUCAACUUAUAAGCUUCCCCCCAAAUCGUACUUAUGUUACCUAUGGAAGUGCAGGGUCUAUAGCUCGCAUUUCUCAACACGGAAGCUGCCUUUCCGCGUAGAAUGUCCUUCUUAGCUCUCACCCAACCAGACGCCAUUCAUAAGUAACCAGCCAUUUCGUAGAGUCUGUUAAAUAGAAAUAUCUAUUUCAAGUUCGUUGGAAACGUUUGGACUUGCCCUAGGACUUGCCAGGGAAGCUGCUCGGAGCACUCUGCUC
This is a long non-coding RNA of Myotis brandtii (Brandt's bat), 1163 nucleotides long. RefSeq lists it as uncharacterized. NCBI's taxonomy places the organism in Eukaryota, Metazoa, Chordata, Mammalia, Chiroptera, Vespertilionidae. The record is from RefSeq and is a predicted model, not a curated record. The transcript has 3 exons.